This 579-nucleotide ribosomal RNA is filed under the name uncultured bacterium. Its description in RNAcentral is "partial 16S ribosomal RNA". It matches the Rfam family "Bacterial small subunit ribosomal RNA", at positions 355 to 925 of the family's 1533-position model. The record is from RNAcentral.
UGGGGAAUUUUGGACAAUGGGCGAAAGCCUGAUCCAGCAAUGCCGCGUGUGUGAAGAAGGCCUUCGGGUUGUAAAGCACUUUUGUCCGGAAAGAAAUCCUUGGCUCUAAUACAGUCGGGGGAUGACGGUACCGGAAGAAUAAGCACCGGCUAACUACGUGCCAGCAGCCGCGGUAAUACGUAGGGUGCAAGCGUUAAUCGGAAUUACUGGGCGUAAAGCGUGCGCAGGCGGUUUGCUAAGACCGAUGUGAAAUCCCCGGGCUCAACCUGGGAACUGCAUUGGUGACUGGCAGGCUAGAGUAUGGCAGAGGGGGGUAGAAUUCCACGUGUAGCAGUGAAAUGCGUAGAGAUGUGGAGGAAUACCGAUGGCGAAGGCAGCCCCCUGGGCCAAAUACUGACGCUCAUGCACGAAAGCGUGGGGAGCAAACAGGAUUAGAUACCCUGGUAGUCCAGCGCCCUAAACGAUGUCAACUAGUUGUUGGGGAUUCAUUUCCUUAGUAACGUAGCUAACGCGUGAAGUUGACCGCCUGGGGAGUACGGUCGCAAGAUUAAAACUUAAAGGAAUUGACGGGGUCAUAGC